UUGACGGGACCCGCACAAGCAGCGAGCAUGUGGUUAAUUCGAAGCAACGCGAAGAACCUUACCAGGCUUGACAUCCCUCUGACCGGACCGUAAUGGGUCCUUCCCUUCGGGGCAGAGGAGACAGGUGGUGCAUGGUUGUCGUCAGCUCGUGUCGUGAGAUGUUGGGUUAAGUCCCGCAACGAGCGCAACCCUUGUCAUUAGUUGCCAGCAGUUCGGCUGGGCACUCUAGUGAGACUGCCGGGGAUAACUCGGAGGAAGUGGGAUGACGUCAAAUCAUCAUGCCCCUUAUGUUCUGGGCUACACACGUGCUACAAUGGCUGGUACAAAGAGAAGCAAGACGGUGACGUGGAGCAAAUCUCAAAAACCAGUCCCAGUUCGGAUUGUAGGCUGCAACUCGCCUACAUGAAGUUGGAGUUGCUAGUAAUCGCGAAUCAGAAUGUCGCGGUGAAUGCGUUCCCGGGUCUU
Molecule: ribosomal RNA, 465 nt
Filed under: uncultured Eubacteriales bacterium
Lineage: Bacteria; Bacillati; Bacillota; Clostridia; Eubacteriales
Description: bacterial SSU rRNA
Rfam family: Bacterial small subunit ribosomal RNA
Source: RNAcentral